UUAAGUGAAUAAGGGCGCACGGUGGAUGCCUUGGCACUAGGAGCCGAUGAAGGACGGGACUAACACCGAUAUGCUUUGGGGAGCUGUAAGUAAGCUAUGAUCCAGAGAUUUCCGAAUGGGGAAACCCAGCAUCUUUUAUAGGAUGUUACGUCUGCGUGAAUACAUAGCGCAGUCGAGGUAGACGCAGAGAACUGAAACAUCUAAGUACCUGCAGGAAGAGAAAGAAAAUUCGAUUCCCUGAGUAGCGGCGAGCGAAACGGGAAAAGCCCAAACCAACAAGCUUGCUUGUUGGGGUUGUAGGACUCCGAUAUGGUAGUCUAUUCAGAUAGUCGAAAUACUUGGAAAAGUAUGUCAAAGAGGGUAAAAACCCCGUAGGCGAAAUUUGGAUAACACCUAGGAGGAUCCUGAGUACGGCGGAACACGAGGAAUUCCGUCGGAAUCCGGGAGGACCAUCUCCCAAGGCUAAAUACUCCCUAGUGACCGAUAGUGAACCAGUACCGUGAGGGAAAGGUGAAAAGCACCCCGGAAGGGGGAGUGAAAUAGAUCCUGAAACCGUGUGCCUACAACAAGUUAGAGGCCCGUUAAUGGGUGAUAGCGUGCCUUUUGUAGAAUGAACCGGCGAGUUACGAUAGCAUGCGAGGUUAAGUUGAAGAGACGGAGCCGCAGCGAAAGCGAGUCUGAAUAGGGCGAAUGAGUAUGUUGUCGUAGACCCGAAACCAUGUGAUCUACCCAUGUCCAGGUUGAAGGUGCGGUAAAACGCACUGGAGGACCGAACCCACGUACGUUGAAAAGUGCCGGGGAUGAGGUGUGGGUAGCGGAGAAAUUCCAAACGAACUUGGAGAUAGCUGGUUCUCUCCGAAAUAGCUUUAGGGCUAGCCUCGGAAUUGAGAAUGAUGGAGGUAGAGCACUGUUUGGACUAGGGGCCCAUCUCGGGUUACCGAAUUCAGAUAAACUCCGAAUGCCAUUCAUUCAUAUCCGGGGAGUCAGACUGUGAGUGAUAAGAUCCAUAGUCGAAAGGGAAACAGCCCAGACCACCAGCUAAGGUCCCCAAAUAACUAUUAAGUGGAAAAGGAUGUGGGGUUGCACAGACAACUAGGAUGUUGGCUUAGAAGCAGCCACCAUUUAAAGAGUGCGUAAUAGCUCACUAGUCGAGUGACCCUGCGCCGAAAAUGUACCGGGGCUAAAUAGUUUACCGAAGCUGUGGAGUGCACCAUUAGGUGCAUUGGUAGGAGAGCGUUCUAAGGGCGUUGAAGGCAGAUCGUGAGGACUGCUGGAGCGCUUAGAAGUGAGAAUGCCGGUAUGAGUAGCGAAAGACAGGUGAGAAUCCUGUCCACCGAAUGACUAAGGUUUCCUGGGGAAGGCUCGUCGCCCAGGGUUAGUCGGGACCUAAGCCGAGGCCGACAGGCGUAGGCGAUGGACAACAGGUUGAUAUUCCUGUACCCGUUGUUUUUGUUUGAGCAAUGGAGGGACGCAGGAGGCUAAGAAGUGCAGACUGAUGGAUAUGUCUGUUCAAGCAGUAAGUCUUGGUAGGAGUCAAAUGCUUCUACCUAUACGGACAAGCUGUGAUGAGGAGGGAAAUAAUAGUACCGAAGCUUCUGAUGUCACACUGCCAAGAAAAGCUUCUAGUGAGAAAACAAUGGCCCGUACCGCAAACCGACACAGGUAGUCGAGGAGAGAAUCCUAAGGUGAGCGAGAGAACUCUCGUUAAGGAACUCGGCAAAAUGACCCCGUAACUUCGGGAGAAGGGGUGCUGCUCUAACGAGCAGCCGCAGUGAAUAGGCCCAAGCGACUGUUUAUCAAAAACACAGGUCUCUGCAAAAUCGAAAGAUGACGUAUAGGGGCUGACGCCUGCCCGGUGCUGGAAGGUUAAGAGGAGUGCUUAGCGUAAGCGAAGGUACGAAUUGAAGCCCCAGUAAACGGCGGCCGUAACUAUAACGGUCCUAAGGUAGCGAAAUUCCUUGUCGGGUAAGUUCCGACCCGCACGAAAGGCGUAACGAUUUGGGCACUGUCUCAACGAGAGACUCGGUGAAAUUUUAGUACCUGUGAAGAUGCAGGUUACCCGCGACAGGACGGAAAGACCCCAUGGAGCUUUACUGUAGUUUGAUAUUGAGUGUCUGUACCGCAUGUACAGGAUAGGUAGGAGCCGUAGAGAUCGGGACGCCAGUUUCGAUGGAGGCAAUGGUGGGAUACUACCCUUGCGUUAUGGCCACUCUAACCCGCAGCCCUUAUCGGGCUGGGAGACAGUGUCAGAUGGGCAGUUUGACUGGGGCGGUCGCCUCCUAAAAGGUAACGGAGGCGCCCAAAGGUUCCCUCAGAAUGGUUGGAAAUCAUUCGAAGAGUGUAAAGGCAGAAGGGAGCUUGACUGCGAGAGCUACAACUCGAGCAGGGACGAAAGUCGGGCUUAGUGAUCCGGUGGUUCCGCAUGGAAGGGCCAUCGCUCAACGGAUAAAAGCUACCCUGGGGAUAACAGGCUUAUCUCCCCCAAGAGUCCACAUCGACGGGGAGGUUUGGCACCUCGAUGUCGGCUCGUCGCAUCCUGGGGCUGUAGUCGGUCCCAAGGGUUGGGCUGUUCGCCCAUUAAAGCGGCACGCGAGCUGGGUUCAGAACGUCGUGAGACAGUUCGGUCCCUAUCCGUCGCGGGCGUUGGAAAUUUGAGAGGAGCUGUCCUUAGUACGAGAGGACCGGGAUGGACUUACCGCUGGUGUACCAGUUGUCUCGCCAGAGGCAUCGCUGGGUAGCUAUGUAGGGAAGGGAUAAACGCUGAAAGCAUCUAAGUGUGAAGCCCACCUCAAGAUGAGAUUUCCCAUUUCUUUAAGAAAGUAAGAUCCCUGAGAGAUGAUCAGGUAGAUAGGUCAGAAGUGGAAGGCCAGUGAUGGUUGGAGCGGACUGAUACUAAUCGAUCGAGGACUUAACCAA
This 2916-nucleotide ribosomal RNA is filed under the name Enterococcus casseliflavus. Its description in RNAcentral is "23S ribosomal RNA". It matches the Rfam family "Bacterial large subunit ribosomal RNA". Lineage: Bacteria; Bacillati; Bacillota; Bacilli; Lactobacillales; Enterococcaceae. The record is from RNAcentral.